Molecule: ribosomal RNA, 301 nt
Filed under: uncultured bacterium
Lineage: Bacteria
Description: partial 16S ribosomal RNA
Rfam family: Bacterial small subunit ribosomal RNA
Source: RNAcentral
CAGUAGCCGCGGGAAUACGGAGGGAGCUAGCGUUGUUCGGAAUUACUGGGCGUAAAGGGCUCGCAGGCGGUUUCUUAAGUCUGAUGUGAAAGCCCCCGGCUCAACCGGGGAGGGUCAUUGGAAACUGGGAAACUUGAGUGCAGAAGAGGAGAGUGGAAUUCCACGUGUAGCGGUGAAAUGCGUAGAGAUGUGGAGGAACACCAGUGGCGAAGGCGACUCUCUGGUCUGUAACUGACGCUGAGGAGCGAAAGCGUGGGGAGCGAACAGGAUUAGAUACCCCUGUAGUCCCUGUCUCUUAUAA